AUUGAACGCUGGCGGCAUGCUUUACACAUGCAAGUCGAACGGUAACAGGCCGCAAGGUGCUGACGAGUGGCGAACGGGUGAGUAAUGCAUCGGAACGUGCCCAGUCGUGGGGGAUAACUACUCGAAAGAGUAGCUAAUACCUCAUACGAUCUAUGGAUGAAAGCGGGGGACCGUAAGGCCUCGCGCGGUUGGAGCGGCCGAUGUCAGAUUAGGUAGUUGGUGGGGUAAAGGCUCACCAAGCCAACGAUCUGUAGCUGGUCUGAGAGGACGACCAGCCACACUGGGACUGAGACACGGCCCAGACUCCUACGGGAGGCAGCAGUGGGGAAUUUUGGACAAUGGGCGCAAGCCUGAUCCAGCAAUGCCGCGUGCAGGAAGAAGGCCUUCGGGUUGUAAACUGCUUUUGUACGGAACGAAACGGCUCUGGUUAAUACCCGGGGCUAAUGACGGUACCGUAAGAAUAAGCACCGGCUAACUACGUG
This 482-nucleotide ribosomal RNA is filed under the name uncultured bacterium. RNAcentral's name for it is "partial 16S ribosomal RNA". It matches the Rfam family "Bacterial small subunit ribosomal RNA", at positions 30 to 507 of the family's 1533-position model. The record is from RNAcentral.